AAGGCGUGUAUAAUGUGUGUGUG
This 23-nucleotide non-coding RNA is filed under the name Arabidopsis thaliana (thale cress). Lineage: Eukaryota; Viridiplantae; Streptophyta; Magnoliopsida; Brassicales; Brassicaceae. The record is from RNAcentral.